Molecule: transfer RNA, 56 nt
Filed under: Siraitia grosvenorii (monk fruit)
Lineage: Eukaryota; Viridiplantae; Streptophyta; Magnoliopsida; Cucurbitales; Cucurbitaceae
Description: partial tRNA-His
Source: RNAcentral
GCGGAUGUAGCCAAGUGGAUCAAGGCAGUGGAUUUGUGAAUCCACCAUGCGCGAGG